CGGAACUCCAGGUGCUGGGUCUUCCAGGAGCGCGCCUGCGCGGGAGGGUGACCACAGGCGGCCGGGCGGGAUGUCCUGUCCGCAGUCUUCAGCCCAGCCGCCGCCACCCAUAAGCUAUGAGGAGGAGUUUACGACCACCUGGACUACUACCACCUGCGUGACUUCCCGGCCUGCGGGGUCCGCGCAGCAAAGGCUUGACGCUGCUGGAGCAGGCGCUGCGCACCUACUGGCUGGCGCCUGGUAGGCACGAGCGCAGGGUCGCCCAGAAGCUCCUCAAUGGCCUGAGCAAGUACCAGCCAGCGCCAGCUGCAGCCCUGGCCGCGCACUCGCCUCAGCUGAGCCUGGAACUUCCGAAUUUCAACAGAUGCCAGUGUUCUCUCCUUUUUUCACAUGGGAAAAUUCCCUUGAAACUCAUUUGAAGCUUGGACAAAAAUUCCACAGCUGUAUUCUUCAGGAUCACUUUGCAGAGUCUUCAAGACUCAGAUACAGAGGAAGCUUCAAUUCAACCUUUCAGAGAAGAUUCCAGCUCGCAUGAUCUCAUCAACCAAGAGAAUGUUGGUGGCAACCAGUGCUGAAAGGGGGAUAAAAAUUAGAUAGCUCAGAUGAUUAGGAGCCCUAAUUCGACUCAACUUCCCACUUCCAACUAAGCUGCACACGUUAACAUCCAAUUAAAUUUCCCCCUUCCCCUCUACACAUCAGAGGGCUAGUUCGGUUUCCAUACUUUCAGCUGAUUACAUUAUUCAUGGGGGAAAAUGAGCAACUAAACAGAAAACACCAAAUGAAGAGUAUGAUGAUUCUCUAACAGUUUAGUUUUCAUUUUCCCAAACUUACCAGGAAUGAAGAAGCUGUUUCUUUACACAAUCGUUAUCCCAUAAUGCCUGCUUCUGCUGCUACCACGGGCUCACCUAAAAGGCAACCAAAGUAAAUUCAGUCAAUAAGAACCAACAAUAUUGUGUGUGGCUUUGCUUAUCACCGAUGACUCAUUUCCUCCAGUAUUAACUAUGGGAAUUCAAAGCUUCUCUGUUAGCCCAAUUUUCUACUCUAAACCAUGACCCCUGUCCACAAUAUUUGAGGAGUGUCUGACUUCUACUUAGAAGACCUGAACACCCCUCUCUCCUUCUGGAUACAUUUCUGUUUACCCAUACUAAAGUACAGCACUGCAACUCUAAUCUGGCUAAAAUGGACUGAUCAUUUCCCUCAUUCCAGAAAUCUUUUUUAUUAAAUAAUAAUGUUGACAGC
This 1239-nucleotide long non-coding RNA is filed under the name Homo sapiens (human). RNAcentral's name for it is "non-protein coding lnc-ERV3-1-10:1". Lineage: Eukaryota; Metazoa; Chordata; Mammalia; Primates; Hominidae. The record is from RNAcentral.